UACGGAGGGUGCGAGCGUUGUCCGGAAUCACUGGGCGUAAAGGGCUCGUAGGCGGCCAACUAAGUCGGACGUGAAAUCCCUCGGCUUAACCGGGGAACUGCGUCCGAUACUGGAUGGCUUGAGUUUGGGAGAGGGAUGCGGAAUUCCAGGUGUAGCGGUGAAAUGCGUAGAUAUCUGGAGGAACACCGGUGGCGAAGGCGGCAUCCUGGACCAACACUGACGCUGAGGAGCGAAAGCCAGGGGAGCAAACGGG
Molecule: ribosomal RNA, 253 nt
Filed under: uncultured bacterium
Lineage: Bacteria
Description: partial 16S ribosomal RNA
Rfam family: Bacterial small subunit ribosomal RNA
Source: RNAcentral